RNAcentral lists this ribosomal RNA (279 nucleotides) under uncultured bacterium. RNAcentral describes it as "partial 16S ribosomal RNA". It matches the Rfam family "Bacterial small subunit ribosomal RNA", at positions 506 to 784 of the family's 1533-position model. The record is from RNAcentral.
UGCCAGCAGCCGCGGUAAUACGGAGGGGGCUAGCGUUGUUCGGAAUUACUGGGCGUAAAGCGCACGUAGGCGGUUUAUCAAGUUGGGCGUGAAAGCCCGGGGCUCAACCUGGGAACUGCAUUCAAAACUGACGAGCUAGAGUAUGGUAGAGGUGAGUGGAAUUUCCUGUGUAGCGGUGAAAUGCGUAGAGAUGGGAAGGAACACCAGUGGCGAAGGCGACUCACUGGACCAAUACUGACACUGAGGUACGAAAGCGUGGGUAGCAAACAGGAUUAGAUA